RNAcentral lists this ribosomal RNA (433 nucleotides) under uncultured bacterium. RNAcentral describes it as "partial 16S ribosomal RNA". It matches the Rfam family "Bacterial small subunit ribosomal RNA", at positions 29 to 507 of the family's 1533-position model. The record is from RNAcentral.
AACGAACGCUGACGGCAUGCCUAACACAUGCAAGUCGAACGAGACCUUCGGGUCUAGUGGCGCACGGGUGCGUAACGCGUGGGAACCUGCCCUUAGGUUCGGAAUAACUCCCCGAAAGGGGUGCUAAUACCGGAUAAUGUCUUCGGACCAAAGAUUUAUCGCCUUUGGAUGGGCCCGCGUUGGAUUAGCUAGUUGGUAGGGUAAAAGCCUACCAAGGCGACGAUCCAUAGCUGGUCUGAGAGGAUGAUCAGCCACACUGGGACUGAGACACGGCCCAGACUCCUACGGGAAGCAGCAGUGGGGAAUAUUGGACAAUGGGCGAAAGCCUGAUCCAGCAAUGCCGCGUGAGUGAUGAAGGCCUUAGGGUUGUAAAGCUCUUUUACCCGGGAUGAUAAUGACAGUACCGGGAGAAUAAGCUCCGGCUAACUCCGUG